This 497-nucleotide ribosomal RNA is filed under the name uncultured bacterium. RNAcentral describes it as "partial 16S ribosomal RNA". It matches the Rfam family "Bacterial small subunit ribosomal RNA", at positions 28 to 507 of the family's 1533-position model. The record is from RNAcentral.
GACGAACGCUGGCGGCGUGCCUAAUACAUACAAGUUGAGCGCUGAAGGUUGGUACUUGUACCAACUGGAUGAGCAGCGAACGGGUGAGUAACGCGUGGGGAAUCUGCCUUUGAGCGGGGGACAACAUUUGGAAACGAAUGCUAAUACCGCAUAAAAACUUUAAACACAAGUUUUAAGUUUGAAAGAUGCAAUUGCAUCACUCAAAGAUGAUCCCGCGUUGUAUUAGCUAGUUGGUGAGGUAAAGGCUCACCAAGGCGAUGAUACAUAGCCGACCUGAGAGGGUGAUCGGCCACAUUGGGACUGAGACACGGCCCAAACUCCUACGGGAGGCAGCAGUAGGGAAUCUUCGGCAAUGGACGAAAGUCUGACCGAGCAACGCCGCGUGAGUGAAGAAGGUUGUCGGAUCGGAAAACUCUGUUGGUAGAGAAGAACGUUGGUGAGAGUGGAAAGCUCAUCAAGUGACGGUAACUACCCAGAAAGGGACGGCUAACUACGUG